This 481-nucleotide ribosomal RNA is filed under the name uncultured bacterium. Its description in RNAcentral is "partial 16S ribosomal RNA". It matches the Rfam family "Bacterial small subunit ribosomal RNA", at positions 28 to 507 of the family's 1533-position model. The record is from RNAcentral.
GAUGAACGCUGGCGGCGUGCCUAACACAUGCAAGUCGAACGGAGAUUACGGACGGAAGUUUUCGGUUGGAAGCCUGUAAUUCUUAGUGUAGGACGGGGGAGUAACGCGUGGGCGAGGUGCACUAUACAGGGGGAUAGCAGCUGGAAACGGCUGGUAAGACUGAAUAAGUGGGUUAAGUCGCAUGAAUUGAUCGGGAAAUGAGCAAUCAGGUAUAGGAUGGGCUCGCGUCCGAUUAGCCGGUUGGGAGGGUAAAAGCGUACCAAAGUGACGAACGGUAGACGGACUGAGAGCACGGCCGGAAACAUUGGGAGUGAGAGCCGGACCAAACUCUUAGGGGAGGAAGAAGUGCGGGACAUUGCACAAUGGAGGAAACUAUGAUGCAGCCACGUCGUGUGAGUGAGGAAGUAUUUCGGUAUGUAAAGCUCUAUCAGAAGGGAAGAUGAUGACGGUACCUGACUAAGAAGCCCCGGCUAACUACGUG